Non-coding RNA from Camellia sinensis, 1984 nucleotides. The record is from RefSeq and is a predicted model, not a curated record. Lineage: Eukaryota; Viridiplantae; Streptophyta; Magnoliopsida; Ericales; Theaceae.
CUUGCUUCCACAAUAGAUCUACUUGCAGUGAUCUCUUCAAAUGAAACUACAAAUCUCAUAAAAUUUAAUAUACCGUUUUAUAGAUCAUUGAAGUUUUAGAUUGUGAAGGGUCUUUGGCUGGUUCAUACAAAACUUGUGAAGAGACUAUAUGUAUGUUGGCCAUAUAUAAUUCAUUUGACCUUGUAAAGUGUAAUAAGCAGUAAUAAAGCCAAGCUAGAACCUUGAAGGUUGUUUCCAUUAAAUAUAGAACAUCAUUUUUGGACUUAUAAAUAGGUCCUAAAUUCACAUUUUAGGUUGAAAUUAUGACGAAAACUUUCCCUGAUGUUCUGCUAAUAUUUUCUACAUAUAGUUUGAAUUUCUAUUGAUAUUGCAACUAGGACGACUGAUGUAGAGAGAAUGAAAUGAAGCAAUCCAAGUUCAAGAGGAUUUGUGUCUUCUGUGGACUGGCCACGGCAAGAAGAGCAGCUACCAAGCAAUCCACAUUUACUUUUCUCUCUUUACUUCAUUACCUUGGACUAGCCGGGGCAAGAAGAGUAGCUACGAAGCAAUCCACAUUUGUGUCUUCUGAAUAAGAAUUAUUUUUAGUGGUUUCUCACGUCUUAAUAACCAAAUUCAAAUAACGGGGAAAAUAAAUAGUAUAUUAGCUUGAGGUGAUGCUUAUCAGUGUUGGCUUAAAAUCUCAGUGAAUCAAGGAACCCCUUUGUAGAAUAUGCAGUGCAAUAUGCUGUAGCAGCAGCCCUUGCAACGUUGGAAAAGGAUAAGAAGGAUUUGUUACACAAACUACUUUUACAAGAUCUUGACAUUACAAUCUUAGGUUGCAAUGACUUCUAUUCAUAUCGGAAUCAGGUGGGGUUUAUCUAGUGAGAUUGGAAAAGGGAAAGUUCGCAGCGGUUUUGAUGUUAGUUCUGCAGUUUAUGGUAGUCAACGAUAUGUUCGCUUUUCACCAGAAGUGCUUUCUUCUGCUCAGGUUUCUCUUUCUCUCCCUCCCUCUUUCUCUCUCUAUAUAUACAAUUAUAUUUUGUCCUCGUAAAGUAUUAUUGAAUUCUUACCUUGGCCCUUAAAGUUUAUUUUUCCCAAUUUGGUCUCUAAACUAUAUGAUCAUUCCCAAUUUGGCUCAAUUCCCAACUGCCGUCCAAAUUAUUGAUCAAAACAUAGCAUGAAAACAUUCAACUUUGUCAGAUAUCAAGAGCUCUGUGGCACAGCUUAUGAUGGGAAUGAGCUGAGAACAUGAAAAACAAAAGAAGGUUAGGAAGUUAUAGAAGACUGUUUUUGAUAGUGCCCUUAUGGGGACAAUAUUGUUCCGAGGGCUACUUAAUUAGGUGUAUUUUUCUACAAACUUUCACUAGAAUUAGUCUUAUUUUUGAGUUUUCCUUAUAUGGAAUUGCAGGAUGCUGUUUUUUUGAAUGAAUAAAAUUACAGGAUGUAGUUAAAGGAAAAGCGUUAGUGGAAGUCAUUGGUGCUGAAUGGCAAAUGGGACCAUGAGAGGACUACACAGAAUGUAUUGUUUUUUCCAUAGAGUCUGCUACAUAUUGAAUCCCUUAGUAGUUGGUAUUGUUUUUUCCUUAAGAGCACUACUAGAAAAUUGACUUUUUGCGUCUUUUUUCUUUUUUUUGGUGACCAUUUGUUUGGCUGUCACGCCCCAAAAUUCGAGACCGUAAAAGAAAUGUACAAAAUACAACUCAAACAGGAUAGAUAACUAAAAUAUUUUAAUAUACACAUAUAAGCAGAGUUAUAGCAUAGAUAAUUCAUUUGUGUUCCGCUAUAGGAUUACAAAAUACUGUCAAACCAAAAGUAAAAUGAAAAAAAAACUACUAGUCUAAAUCUUAAAGUGAACCACGCCUCCAACACUUCAUCUUGAUUGCCUUCGGAUAACCUUCACCACCGUAAAUUGCUUCCUCACCUGGUAUGACACGCCAUGAGCUUGGAAUGUCCAGUAAAAACACAUACACCCCCAUAUCUUCUAUCAACCAAUCAACCAUACAUA